This 348-nucleotide unclassified non-coding RNA is filed under the name soil metagenome. RNAcentral describes it as "partial contains 5.8S ribosomal RNA, internal transcribed spacer 2, and large subunit ribosomal RNA". The stretch from base 1 to 120 matches the Rfam family "5.8S ribosomal RNA", at positions 35 to 154 of the family's 154-position model. The record is from RNAcentral.
GAUGAAGAACGUAGCAAAAUGCGAUAAGUAAUGUGAAUUGCAGAAUUCAGUGAAUCAUCGAAUCUUUGAACGCACAUUGCGCCCGCUGGUAUUCCGGCGGGCAUGCCUGUUCGAGCGUCAUUUCAACCCUCAAGCCCCCGGGUUUGGUGUUGGGGAUCGGCUCUGCCCUUCUGGGCGGUGCCGCCCCCGAAAUACAUUGGCGGUCUCGCUGCAGCCUCCAUUGCGUAGUAGCUAACACCUCGCAACUGGAACGCGGCGCGGCCAUGCCGUAAAACCCCAUCUUCUGAAUGUUGACCUCGGAUCAGGUAGGAAUACCCGCUGAACUUAAGCAUAUCAAUAAGCGGAGGA